RNAcentral lists this ribosomal RNA (490 nucleotides) under Lispe tentaculata. RNAcentral's name for it is "partial 12S ribosomal RNA". The record is from RNAcentral. Lineage: Eukaryota; Metazoa; Arthropoda; Insecta; Diptera; Muscidae.
AGUCUAUUCAGAGGAACCUGUCUUAUAAACGAUAAUCCACGAUGGACCUUACUUAAAUUUGUAUAGUUUAUAUACCGUCGUUAUUAGAAUAUUUUAAAAGAAUAAUAAUUUUCAUAAUUUUUAAAUUGAAAAUAUAUCAGAUCAAGGUGUAGCUAAUAUUUAAGUAAAGAUGGGUUACAAUAAAUUUAUUUAUACGAAUAUAAAUAUGAAAAAUUUAUUGAAGGAGGAUUUGAUAGUAAAAUUAUAAAGAUUAAUAAUUUGAUUUUAGCUCUAAAAUAUGUACAUAUCGCCCGUCGCUCUUAUUAUUAAGGUAAGAUAAGUCGUAACAUAGUAGAUGUACUGGAAAGUGUAUCUAGAAUGCAAUUUAAAGCUUUUUUAGUAAAGUAUUUCAUUUACAUUGAAAUGAUUAUUGUGCAAUUCAAUAUAAAUUGAUUAAAUUUUAUUUAUUAAUUUGUUUAUAAUUUUAUAUAAUUUAUUAAAAAUAAUUAUA